Molecule: ribosomal RNA, 489 nt
Filed under: uncultured bacterium
Lineage: Bacteria
Description: bacterial SSU rRNA
Rfam family: Bacterial small subunit ribosomal RNA
Source: RNAcentral
GACGAACGCUUGCGGCGUGCCUAAGAAAUGCAAGUCGAGCGAGACCAGGGUGCUUGCACCUGAAGUCUAGCGGCGAACGGUCGCGUAACACGUAAGCAACCUGCCCCUAAGACCGGGAUAGCCCACCGAAAGGUGGAUUAAUACCGGAUGUGGACACAACCUGGCAUCUGUGUUGUGUUUAAAUCAAGCAAUUGGCUUAGGGAUGGGCUUGCGGCCUAUCAGCUAGUUGGUGAGGUAACGGCCCACCAAGGCGACGACGGGUAGCUGGUCUGAGAGGAUGGUCAGCCGGACUGGGACUGAGAUACGGCCCAGACUCCUACGGGGGGCAGCAAUUAGGAAUCUUGCGCAAUGGGGGAAACCCUGACGCAGCGACGCCGCGUGAAGGAUGAAGGCCUUCGGGUUGUAAACUUCUUUUAAGGGGGAAGAAACAAAUGACGGUACCCCUUGAAUAAGCCCCGGCUAACUACGUGCCAGCCGCCGCGGUAAAAC